Molecule: ribosomal RNA, 449 nt
Filed under: uncultured bacterium
Lineage: Bacteria
Description: bacterial SSU rRNA
Rfam family: Bacterial small subunit ribosomal RNA
Source: RNAcentral
UCCCAGACUCCUACGGGAGGCAGCAGUGGGGAAUAUUGCACAAUGGGGGAAACCCUGAUGCAGCGACGCCGCGUGAGUGAGGAAGUAUUUCGGUAUGUAAAGCCCUAUCAGCAGGGAAGAAGAAAUGGCGGUACCUGAGUAAGAAGCACCGGCUAAAUACGUGCCAGCAGCCGCGGUAAUACGUAUGGUGCAAGCGUUAUCCGGAUUUACUGGGUGUAAAGGGAGCGCAGGCGGCACGGCAAGCCUGAUGUGAAAGCCCGCGGCCCAACCGCGGGACUGCAUUGGGAACUACCGGGCUGGAGUGCCGGAGAGGCAGGCGGAAUUCCUAGUGUAGCGGUGAAAUGCGUAGAUAUUAGGAGGAACACCAGUGGCGAAGGCGGCCUGCUGGACGAUGACUGACGUUGAGGCUCGAAAGCGUGGGGAGCAAACAGGAUUAGAUACCCUCGUAC